This 172-nucleotide ribosomal RNA is filed under the name uncultured bacterium. Its description in RNAcentral is "partial 16S ribosomal RNA". It matches the Rfam family "Bacterial small subunit ribosomal RNA", at positions 338 to 524 of the family's 1533-position model. The record is from RNAcentral.
CCUACGGGAGGCAGCAGUAGGGAAUUUUCGGCAAUGGAGGAAACUCUGACCGAGCAACGCCGCGUGAACGAAGAAGUUCUUCGGAAUGUAAAGUUCUUUUAUCAGGGAAGAAAAAAAUGACGGUACCUGAUGAGUAAGCCCCGGCUAACUAUGUGCCAGCAGCCGCGGUAAU